GACGAACGCUGGCGGCGUGCUUAACACAUGCAAGUCGAACGGAAAGGCCCUGCUUUUGUGGGGUGCUCGAGUGGCGAACGGGUGAGUAACACGUGAGUAACCUGCCCUUGACUUUGGGAUAACUUCAGGAAACUGGGGCUAAUACCGGAUAGGAGCUCCUGCUGCAUGGUGGGGGUUGGAAAGUUUCGGCGGUUGGGGAUGGACUCGCGGCUUAUCAGCUUGUUGGUGGGGUAGUGGCUUACCAAGGCUUUGACGGGUAGCCGGCCUGAGAGGGUGACCGGCCACAUUGGGACUGAGAUACGGCCCAGACGCCUACGGGAGGCAGCAGUGGGGAAUAUUGCACAGUGGGCGGAAGCCUGAUGCAGAAACGCCGCGUGCGGGAUGACGGUCUUCGGGUUGUAAACCGCUUUCGCCUGUGACGAAGCGUGAGUGACGGUAAUGGGUAAAGAAGCACCGGCUAACUACGUG
This 468-nucleotide ribosomal RNA is filed under the name uncultured bacterium. RNAcentral's name for it is "partial 16S ribosomal RNA". It matches the Rfam family "Bacterial small subunit ribosomal RNA", at positions 28 to 507 of the family's 1533-position model. The record is from RNAcentral.